CCAAUAGCGUAUAUUAAAGUUGUUGUGGUUAAAAAGCUCGUAGUUGAACCUUGGGCCUGGCUGGCCGGUCCGCCUCACCGCGUGUACUGGUCCGGCCGGGCCUUUCCCUCUGUGGAACCUCAUGCCCUUCACUGGGUGUGACGGGGAAGCAGGACUUUUACUGUGAAAAAAUUAGAGUGCUCCAAGCAGGCCUAUGCUCGAAUACAUUAGCAUGGAAUAAUAAAAUAGGACGUGCGGUUCUAUUUUGUUGGUUUCUAGGACCGCCGUAAUGAUUAAUAGGGACAGUCGGGGGCAUCAGUAUUCAAUUGUCAGAGGUGAAAUUCUUGGAUUUAUUGAAGACUAACUACUGCGAAAGCAUUUGCCAAGGAUGUUUUCAUUAAUCAGGAACGAAAGUUAGGGGAUCGAAGACGAUCAGAUACCGUCGUAGUCUUAACCAUAAACGAUGCCAACCAGCGAUUAGCCUGAGUUCCUUAAAUGACUCGGCUAGCAGCUUCCG
This 496-nucleotide unclassified non-coding RNA is filed under the name uncultured Paraglomus. RNAcentral describes it as "SSU rRNA". It matches the Rfam family "Eukaryotic small subunit ribosomal RNA", at positions 591 to 1092 of the family's 1831-position model. The record is from RNAcentral. Lineage: Eukaryota; Fungi; Glomeromycota; Glomeromycetes; Paraglomerales; Paraglomeraceae.